UGCUCAAACCUGAAACGAUGC
RNAcentral lists this non-coding RNA (21 nucleotides) under Arabidopsis thaliana (thale cress). The record is from RNAcentral. Lineage: Eukaryota; Viridiplantae; Streptophyta; Magnoliopsida; Brassicales; Brassicaceae.